This 468-nucleotide ribosomal RNA is filed under the name uncultured bacterium. RNAcentral describes it as "partial 16S ribosomal RNA". It matches the Rfam family "Bacterial small subunit ribosomal RNA", at positions 28 to 507 of the family's 1533-position model. The record is from RNAcentral.
GACGAACGCUGGCGGCGUGCUUAACACAUGCAAGUCGAACGGAAAGGCCCUGCUUUUGUUGCUUGCUCGAGUGGCGAACGGGUGAGUAACACGCGAGUAACCUGCCCCUGACUUUCUGAUAACUUCAGGAAACUGGGGCUCAUACCCGAUAUGAUCUCCUGCUGCAUGGUGUGCGUUGGUAAGUUUCGGCGGUGCGGGAUCGACUCGCGGCUUAUCAGCUUGUUGGGGGGGUAGUUACUUACCAAGCCUUUGACGGGUAGCCGGCCUGAGAGGGUGAACGGCCACAAUGGGACUGAGAGACGGCCCAGAAUCGUACGGGAGGCAGUAGUGGGGAAUAUUGCGCAAUGGGCGGAAGCCUGAUGCAGAAACGCUGCGUGCGGGAUGACGGCCUUCGGGUUGUAAACCGCUUUCGCAUGUGACGAAGAGUGAGUGACGGUAAUGGGUAAAGAAGCACCGGCUAACUACGUG